Molecule: long non-coding RNA, 2651 nt
Organism: Mustela erminea (ermine)
Lineage: Eukaryota; Metazoa; Chordata; Mammalia; Carnivora; Mustelidae
Exons: 3
Source: RefSeq, a predicted model, not a curated record
UUGCAACACUGCAAGUGACAAGUGAUGGUUAAUGAGGGUGCAGCCUACGGCGACAGUAGGCGGAGAUGGGGGAGAGAGAUCCACGAGGUGGCAUAAAAUGAAUCUCGCAUCGGUUGGAUGCAGACAGAAGCAGGGUGGGAAGUGAAUAUUAAUUACAACGGUGAUUUGAAAACAAAGUAUGUUCAUAAAAUCGUUUUGCUGACCUGUCCGUUUCUAGAGCACUUACUCCUGGAAGCAUCUCGUGUUGGGGAUGAGAACACUGAAGCCGCGUGGCGAACAUCAGAGCACAGGCCUUCGGCUCCUUCUGUUACGUCAGUCCGGCACCCAGAUUGGAGCCCGAGUGGCGAGGCCACUAAAUUUGGUAGUGCGACCAAGAGUAGAGUAAGCUUCGGAGCACAGGUCUUGUUUUCCUUCUAGGUCAUUUGAGCUCCAGGUGCUGCAGAGCAGCUGGAAAAGCACCGCUACCCCUCGGAGAGAUCAAAGCGCAAAGCAGAGUGAGAGGUCUACGUGUUUGCAAGAACACCAUCGUGCAGACAGCAGACCCCGGCGACAGCCCGCACUUGGAACGUUGGAGACGGAGAGAAAUCCAAGAAUAGACUGGGAAGGCUUUUGAAGAAGUGGAUACAAACCAGGCAGAUAUCACAUCGAGGACCGCCUAAGAAGGGAAAUUAAGGAAAGAAUCAUGGUCAUUUGUGUCAAUGACUGUACAUUCUAGGAACGGAGGACUGAAAAAGUUUGCAUUUUUUAUGAGACUGAGCGCAGCCCCCCAACCCCCCGGAGGAAAGAAUACACAGCCGUCUUCCCCGGACGGCUUAAAUCUUCCCCCGCCCGCCAGAGGGAAAGGUUUGGACCAGAUGAGUCCGGGGCCCCAACAUGAGCCUACACACUUUGGUCUCCUAUACUCUUGGCGGGCCAUUCUUCUUCCAUGGAGGUAUGACAAAGGUGUGUGUAGGAGGCUUGGAGAGCCAGUCUGUAGUCAGGGAAGGUGCUGGAGAAUGUCCCAGGUAAGCAGAACUAGAUGGCAGGUUUCAAAGACCUUGAAGAGGCACUCGGUGGCUACACAAACAUCAGUGUGCAUGGUAAUCACUGGCUGAUGAGGCAGGAGAUCUGGAAGGAGGCCUGCGAGUCUUUCUCUCCAGCCAGCUUCUAGGUAACGUCUAUGGUCUGGGUGUCUGACCACACUUGGAGCUCCAAAGAUCUAGAGCAGAAGCUAUAAACUGGGAGGCCUGGAACCACAUAUUAAAUUCAAGUGUCUUUUCUCAGAUCAACAUAAUAUUCUUAAAAAUGAGAAUUAGUUGACCACAUUUAAAAAUCUGAAAAUUUCACAUUGGGGAAAAAAAAAUCCAAAUUCAGUCUUCUUUUGAGAAACCUCAGGAUCUCUGGCCAUCCUUGACCUACACUCUCACAGAGCUGUCCUAUACCUGCCCGAAUUAGCAGGGUGGGUGCCCUCCAGGCCUCCCAGACUCGCCUCCCCUCUCAUCAUUCGUGCUGCCUGCUGGCCUCUGCAGAGGUUUCCAUUCCUGAUCUAGAGCAAGCCCCUUAUUCGACAGAAGGGAAACUGAGGCCAGAGAGUGGGGCCGGAGAUGGGGGAUGCUCUUCCUGUAUCCAGCAGUGUCUCAUUUCUGCUUUCCUGGAUUUGCCAGCUCUGCAAGAGGUUCAGGAAGCCCCAGAGAAUGGCCAGGGACCCUUGCGCAGCAUCACGAGGAGACCAGCAGCAGAGACUGGGAUCCACGACCCGGGGUGCUGUGCUGGCUCUUUCCCCAACGACGCGCAGCCCUCCUCGUCCCUCUCCUUGAUGAAAUGCCAGUCCAGGAUUUGAAGCAGCUUGCAUCUCGCAUGGACAAGGGAUCAGAUGGGAAGGAACAAGUGCGCCUCGUCCGAGCUCACCCAUCUAUGAGUGGAGGAGCAGAAUGAGAACCCAGACCCACGAGCUCCACAUCUGUCCCUGUCCCAACCGCAUGCUGCCUGAGCCACCCCCCCCCAUCAGUACCAAAGAGAGAGCAGAGAAUGAGCAAACUGAACAUGACAAUGAACAUGAAAUUAGCAAGCAGUGCUGCCAGCCUGUCUGCUUCCAGGUCGUCUGUCCUUCACUUUUUUGAGCCCCGAGCACCAUUUCAGAUGACAGCAGCCUCCAGCAGACCACGAGAUCACGUCUUCUUAACCUCUGGAAACACCAGAGCUCGAAGCAGGCAUGAGCUCUACACUGCUUCCGGAAAGAUGGGCAGGAUUAAGAGAGGGUGGUACAUUUGUCUAACAAAUGCUUAGAAACCAAAGAUAAACAUUUACCUCCUUAAGCUGAAUGAAGUUACAGAGGACAAUUUGUCUGAUUGUAGAUGCUUUGGAAAUAAAAAUUUGGACAAAUCCUGUGCAAAGAGCCUGGAUGUAGGUGGUUGAUGGGUUACCCUCCAAAUUUACAUGCAGAGAUGGUGGUAGAAGGAAUGUAGGGAACACUGAGGGACACAUGUCCUUAUCAGUCCACCUGAUAUAACCGAUACCAAUAUGGACACCCGUGUGUGUGUGCAUGUGCGUGCACCUGUGCAUCUGUGCACGUGUGUGUAUGUAGUAGUAGUAGCUAGAUGAUUUGAGAUAAUUGUUUGAAAGGGUAGACUGUUAAGAAUCUGCAUACAUAAAUAUGAAUAUAUGGGAAGAAA